RNAcentral lists this ribosomal RNA (385 nucleotides) under uncultured bacterium. Its description in RNAcentral is "bacterial SSU rRNA". It matches the Rfam family "Bacterial small subunit ribosomal RNA", at positions 30 to 414 of the family's 1533-position model. The record is from RNAcentral.
AUUGAACGCUGGCGGCAUGCCUUACACAUGCAAGUCGAACGGCAGCACGGGAGCAAUCCUGGUGGCGAGUGGCGAACGGGUGAGUAAUGUAUCGGGAACGUACCUUUCAGUGGGGGAUAACGUAGCGAAAGUUACGCUAAUACCGCAUAUUCUGUGAGCAGGAAAGCAGGGGAUCGCAAGACCUUGCGCUGAUUGAGCGGCCGAUAUCAGAUUAGCUAGUUGGUGAGGUAAAGGCUCACCAAGGCGACGAUCUGUAGCGGGUCUGAGAGGAUGAUCCGCCACACUGGAACUGAGACACGGUCCAGACUCCUACGGGAGGCAGCAGUGGGGAAUUUUGGACAAUGGGGGCAACCCUGAUCCAGCCAUGCCGCGUGAGUGAAGAAGG